CCUACGGGUGACUGCAGUGGGGAAUAUUGCACAAUGGGGGAAACCCUGAUGCAGCGACGCCGCGUGAGCGAAGAAGUAUUUCGGUACGUAAAGCUCUAUCAGCAGGGAAGAAAAUGACGGUACCUGACUAAGAAGCUCCGGCUAAAUACGUGCCAGCAGCCGCGGUAAUACGUAUGGAGCAAGCGUUAUCCGGAUUUACUGGGUGUAAAGGGAGCGUAGGCGGUAAGGCAAGUCUGAUGUGAAAUGCCAGGGCUCAACCCUGGGACUGCAUUGGAAACUGUGUAGCUGGAGUGCCGGAGAGGUAAGUGGAAUUCCUAGUGUAGCGGUGAAAUGCGUAGAUAUUAGGAGGAACACCAGUGGCGAAGGCGGCUUACUGGACGGUAACUGACGUUGAGGCACGAAGGCCAGGGGAGCGAAAGGGAUUAGAUACCCCAGUAGUC
This 440-nucleotide ribosomal RNA is filed under the name uncultured bacterium. RNAcentral's name for it is "partial 16S ribosomal RNA". It matches the Rfam family "Bacterial small subunit ribosomal RNA", at positions 338 to 795 of the family's 1533-position model. The record is from RNAcentral.